CCCAUAUAUACCGUAUUACGAAUCCCCAUAUGGAAUUUACUGACCCCAUAUAUACCGUAUUAGGUCACUAGCACACUAUGUAACGAAUUUAUCUUACCGACUAUUACGAAUCCCCAUAUGGAAUUUACUGACCCCAUAUAUACCGUAUUACGUCACUAGCACACUAUGUAACGAAUUUAUCUUACCGACUAUCUUAACGUGUGAAAUUAAGACUAGUGAUUCUCAAAAUGAGCAAGUCUUCAAUACUGUUAGCGCUAAGAAAAUACUUCCAUUUAUCCUACAAAAACAGAUGCCAACAAUAACGACUUGUAAGGUUUAAAUGUGUUUUAUGAAUUUGUUUCAAUCUUAAUCAUCAAUUUCUUCGUCUGUUGGAACUUUUAAGAAUUUUUCUCAGUACCGUUUUGUUUUUACAAAGGGACAUAACACCAUUACUAACCGUGUAUGAAAUAAGCCCCGCCCCUUCUUACCUAAUAAGGAAUAUAAAGGGACGUAACUCCACUACUAACCGUGUAUGAGAUAAGCCCCGCCUCCCUACUAACCUAAUAUCAAAUAUACACGGUUUGCACGCGGACGCUUUUAACCAAUCUUAUUCCUGGAAAUGUAUAGGAGGUAAGAUAA
Molecule: long non-coding RNA, 618 nt
Filed under: Mytilus galloprovincialis (Mediterranean mussel)
Lineage: Eukaryota; Metazoa; Mollusca; Bivalvia; Mytilida; Mytilidae
Source: RNAcentral